Cavia porcellus (domestic guinea pig) is the source of this 635-nucleotide long non-coding RNA. RefSeq lists it as uncharacterized. The record is from RefSeq and is a predicted model, not a curated record. NCBI's taxonomy places the organism in Eukaryota, Metazoa, Chordata, Mammalia, Rodentia, Caviidae. The transcript has 2 exons.
CGGUGGUGCAGGCGCAGGUUGUGCUCGUACCCUCGGUCCGGCCUUCCGCGAGGCGCAGUCCAGCUGCACUCCCCGCGACAGUGAGGCGGGGGCUCCCGAGUUUGCGCCCUCGAGCUGCGAGGUUGGGGGCGCAGGUGAUGAUUCACCCAGCAGCUCCACGAGUUUGGCCAGGUGGUGUUUGUGUCGCGUAGCGCAGACGAUGCUGGGAACGAAAGCUGUUGAGUUGCCGGAGUCACAGGGCCGCGGGGAGCACAGCCGCUUGUCAAUCUGCGCUGGGAGUUAGGCUCUUAAUCUUCGCGUCGGUCCUCGUCCCAGAGCCUCGCAACAGAAAUAUGCAUUGCUAAAGACUGGGACAGAGUCUGACCUUUGGCUUUCAAAGUCAGAGGAGUCAAGCUCCUGUCCUUGGAUCACCAAUGCCGUCUUUUUGUGGGUUGCAAGUAUUAGAGUUUAUUUCCUAACAUCUCUGUGUUGGGCCUUAAGUUUUCACAGUUGUAGGAAAUUCAAACAUCAAGAGAAUUUAGGAUACCACCUGGCAUGUUGAGAUGAGGAUUUGGCUUAUAAUAAUGCAAAUAAUUAUAAUUUUGCUGUGUAUACCAUUUGCUCAAAUGUGUAUUUUGUUACUAAAUUAAAAUAAU